This 225-nucleotide ribosomal RNA is filed under the name uncultured bacterium. Its description in RNAcentral is "partial 16S ribosomal RNA". It matches the Rfam family "Bacterial small subunit ribosomal RNA", at positions 309 to 526 of the family's 1533-position model. The record is from RNAcentral.
CACACUGGGACUGAGACACGGCCCAGACUCCUACGGGAGGCAGCAGUGGGGAAUUUUGGACAAUGGGCGAAAGCCUGAUCCAGCAAUGCCGCGUGUGUGAAGAAGGCCUUCGGGUUGUAAAGCACUUUUGUCCGGAAAGAAAUGGCUUUGGUUAAUACCUGGGGUCGAUGACGGUACCGGAAGAAUAAGGACCGGCUAACUACGUGCCAGCCGCCGCGGUAACAC